GGCCUAAUAGCAUAACGGUUAGUGUGCCUGCUCUCGGUACGUUAGCAAAGCAUCUCAUGCAGGAGGUCCCUGUUCGAUUCGGGGUUAGGUCA
This is a non-coding RNA of Mycena metata, 92 nucleotides long. Lineage: Eukaryota; Fungi; Basidiomycota; Agaricomycetes; Agaricales; Mycenaceae. The record is from the annotation of a GenBank genome assembly.